This 253-nucleotide ribosomal RNA is filed under the name uncultured bacterium. RNAcentral describes it as "partial 16S ribosomal RNA". It matches the Rfam family "Bacterial small subunit ribosomal RNA", at positions 524 to 776 of the family's 1533-position model. The record is from RNAcentral.
UACGAAGGGGGCUAGCGUUGUUCGGAAUUACUGGGCGUAAAGAGUUCGUAGGCGGACUUGUAAGUCAGAGGUGAAAUCCCAGAGCUUAACUCUGGAACUGCCUUUGAAACUAUAAGUCUGGAAUCUCAGAGGGGAUAGCGGAAUUCCAAAUGUAGGGGUGAAAUCCGUAGAUAUUUGGAGGAACACCGGUGGCGAAGGCGGCUAUCUGGAUGAGUAUUGACGCUGAGGAACGAAAGCGUGGGGAUCAAACAGG